Helianthus annuus (common sunflower) is the source of this 912-nucleotide long non-coding RNA. RefSeq lists it as uncharacterized. The transcript has 2 exons. The record is from RefSeq and is a predicted model, not a curated record. Lineage: Eukaryota; Viridiplantae; Streptophyta; Magnoliopsida; Asterales; Asteraceae.
CUGUUUGUUUGCCUCUGAAUGGUUCCAUUAAGAGGCUACCUCUGAAUCGGUCAGAGGUAGGUAUGUUUGGUUCACUAAAACAUCACCUCUUAAUGGUUCCAUUCAGCUCUGAAUGGUUCAGCAUUUGAGAGAGUCUGAAUGAAAAAUAAGACCUCUGUACCCUUCCUCAAACAAAACACGCUGCUCUCCUCCCUCAACCUCUCAUAUCACUCUGUAAUUCCCUCCCUCCUCCAUCCUUUUGCCCUGCCACCAUAGCCACCGUCCUCCUCCUCGACGGCCACCGUCCUCCUCCUAUUGCGCCGCUCACUCACUUCCUCUUUCUCCCUCCUUUUGCACUGCCACCACAGCCACCGUCCUCCUCCAGACGCGACCACCUCCAAUCGAUGACCUUCAACCAUCCUAGCCACCAGCCUCCUCCAAUCGACGACCUUCAGCCACACCAGUCACCGCUUUCCUCCUCCGUUCGACGACCAUUAGCCACCGGCCUCCUCCACAGAAAUGGCAGAAAAUGGGUAAGAUUAACUGGAAGCAAGAGGGGUAAAAAAGUCAUUAUACAUACUCAUUCAGAGGUCUAACCAAACAGCACAUUACCGGUUCAGCACUUACUGGGUCAGAGUCUCUUACCCAUUCAGACCUCUUAAUGGUUCAGCACUUAACCAGUCAGAGGUUGCCAAACAGCCCCUUAGAGAAAGAGUAAUUGUUGUUUGUCCGAGACAUCUUAAUCCUUAAUAAACGUAAAAAAAAUAUAAUGCUUUAUACUUCUAUGCAUUUGAACUGUAUUUUCACUUUGUCAAUAAGUAAUUUAUGUAAAUGAGUAACUUAUGUAAUAUGCCACUUUUGUAUUUAUAUUAUUUAUACACUUUGUGAUAAUGUAGAUUAAAUUUUCCGACCCGCGAAGUUCGCAGGUGAUAA